AUUGAACGCUGGCGGCAGGCCUAACACAUGCAAGUCGAACGGUAACAGGAAACAGCUUGCUGUUUCGCUGACGAGUGGCGGACGGGUGAGUAAUGUCUGGGAAACUGCCUGAUGGAGGGGGAUAACUACUGGAAACGGUAGCUAAUACCGCAUAACGUCGCAAGACCAAAGAGGGGGACCUUCGGGCCUCUUGCCAUCGGAUGUGCCCAGAUGGGAUUAGCUUGUUGGUGGGGUAACGGCUCACCAAGGCGACGAUCCCUAGCUGGUCUGAGAGGAUAACCAGCCACACUGGAACUGAGACACGGUCCAGACUCCUACGGGAGGCAGCAGUGGGGAAUAUUGCACAAUGGGCGCAAGCCUGAUGCAGCCAUGCCGCGUGUAUGAAGAAGGCCUUCGGGUUGUAAAGUACUUUCAGCGGGGAGGAAGGGAGUAAAGUUAAUACCUUUGCUCAUUGACGUUACCCGCAGAAGAAGCACCGGCUAACUCCGUG
Molecule: ribosomal RNA, 490 nt
Filed under: uncultured bacterium
Lineage: Bacteria
Description: partial 16S ribosomal RNA
Rfam family: Bacterial small subunit ribosomal RNA
Source: RNAcentral